GACGCUGUAGUGUAGCGGUUAACACGCGGCUCUCAUGAGGCCGAGAUCGAGGGUUCAACUCCCUCCAGCGUCA
RNAcentral lists this transfer RNA (73 nucleotides) under Candidatus Pacearchaeota archaeon CG1_02_35_32. Its description in RNAcentral is "tRNA-Met". It matches the Rfam family "tRNA". From Rfam's summary of the family: Transfer RNA (tRNA) molecules are approximately 80 nucleotides in length. Their secondary structure includes four short double-helical elements and three loops (D, anti-codon, and T loops). RNAcentral also lists the same sequence under 6 other names. The record is from RNAcentral. Lineage: Archaea; Nanobdellati.